CUUCCAGUGCCCUGUUUGGCCUCUUUGUGGGGCAAAAGUUGGUCUUGGGGGGGUUAGGGCCACUCCUUCUUGGAAACCCCUUAGGGUAGUAGCAUGAAAAUAAGCUAUCUAUAAAGAAAUCUCUGAAAUCAACACAUUCAUUCCUUCAUACCCAUGACGUACCUGUUCAAUCCAGGCAAGGGCUCUCGGAGCCGUCCAGUUCCUCCGUCCCAGCUGAGAGUGUUUGGGGGACGGAGGGCAGGAAAGUCUCUCUUCACAUCCUGGAAAGGGGUGGAGGAUAAACCCGGGUGGUCUUUUCUCUUUCCCACUUCCAGUGUCCUUUGAGGAGGUGACCCCAUAUUGCCUCCCACAAGACUGGGAUCUUCUGGAUCAACACUAGAGAUCUCUCUGCGAGGACCUCCUGCUGGAGAUUUCUGGGACCGAAGUCUCUCCAGGUAAGGAUCCUGUUGCCUUUUGGGCUGAGACUGGGAAGGAUGAUGGUUGCCCCACCGAAAUGCCUCGGUCAACAGAAGCGCCCUGAGCAUGUGUGUCGGCAGCCCAAAGCACUUGUGUCACAGUCAAAAACAUGACCCUACUUUCAAUUUUGUUCUGCUGCUGCACACAACUGGAGAGUUGGGAUCUAGUGCAGGUUUUGAAUUUAUUUUUUAAAAAUCAAUUGUCCAGUACAUAUACAAAGCAAUAGCCAUUCUCGUUACUUAUUCCCUCCUCGCACCCCGCUCUCUGUCCCAUUGUAGAUGUGGGAUAUAAGAACUUUGAAACAUGCCCUUAAAAUGUUCACAUUUCAAUCUGACUCACAACACCCCCAAAUGCAAGAGACUCAGAGGCUAAUAUUAGCUUUGCUACUGAUGAAAUAGAUAUUUAGUCCUUCCUCACUAAAUAGAUUAAUGAAGUGGGAUGGAAGGGAUUUUAUCUGAAGUUUCUUUGUUAAUUUUUCCUGUAGUGCCAUCUGCCCUCUUCACUGUGUCUGGUUGUAGCCGAAACACCUUAAGGAUUCCUCCAAAAUUGAUCAGUGACUUUCUCCCUCCGGGGCCAACCCAGCCCACCCCAGCCGGGUUUGGAAGAUCUCCAGGUCCCCCUUUCAAGGGUUUCCCCUUUCAGAUCCCUCUUGAUCUCUUUCUGUCCCUCCUUCUCCCUCUUCCUCAGGCAUCAUCCUCCCUUUUUUCAUCUCUCUUUAGGCCUCAUUGUGAGCUGCUUUCCCAUUUCCACCUUGUCUCCUCUCUGGAGGGGGGCAGGAGGCCAGGCAGCCCCACAGGAGAGAAGGAGGAGAAAGGCACACCCUAUGAUGAACAAGAAAAGAAGAAUCACCCAGCAACUCCUGGGGCAACCUCAGAAGAAAUAGAUAAACAAGGAAAAAAAUCAGAGAACUGAAAAUCCAACUGAGCAGGAAUAGAUGUCACCUGAAAGAACUCUUGCAAGGGAGAAACCAAAUAAAUGCAUGUCACUGCAGUAGACA
Molecule: long non-coding RNA, 1453 nt
Filed under: Pogona vitticeps (central bearded dragon)
Lineage: Eukaryota; Metazoa; Chordata; Lepidosauria; Squamata; Agamidae
Description: lncRNA (ENSPVIG00000011310.1)
Source: RNAcentral